Rattus norvegicus (Norway rat) is the source of this 69-nucleotide non-coding RNA. Lineage: Eukaryota; Metazoa; Chordata; Mammalia; Rodentia; Muridae. The record is from Rfam.
GGGGAUUUGGCUCAGUGGUAGAGCGCUUGCCUAGCAAGCACAAGGCCCUGGGUUCGAUCCCCAGCUCCG